CCUACGGGUGGCAGCAGUGAGGAAUAUUGGUCAAUGGGCGGAAGCCUGAACCAGCCAAGUCGCGUGAGGGAUUAAGGCCCUGCGGGUCGUAAACCUCUUUUGCCGGGGAGCAGAGGUCCGGACGUGUCCGGGCCGGGAGAGUACCCGGAGAAAAAGCAUCGGCUAACUCCGUGCCAGCAGCCGCGGUAAUACGGAGGAUGCGAGCGUUAUCCGGAUUUAUUGGGUUUAAAGGGUGCGUAGGCGGGCAUUUAAGCCGGCGGUCAAAUGUCGGGGCUCAACCCCGGCCAGCCGUUGAAACUGGGGAUCUAGAGUGUGCGAGAGGUAUGCGGAAUGCGUGGUGUAGCGGUGAAAUGCUUAGAGAUCAUACAGAACACCGAUUGCGAAGGCAGCUUACCAAGCUACUUCUGACGUUGAGGCACGAAAGCGUGGGGAGCAAACAGGAUUAGAUACCCUGGUAGUC
RNAcentral lists this ribosomal RNA (460 nucleotides) under uncultured bacterium. RNAcentral's name for it is "partial 16S ribosomal RNA". It matches the Rfam family "Bacterial small subunit ribosomal RNA", at positions 338 to 795 of the family's 1533-position model. The record is from RNAcentral.